This 471-nucleotide ribosomal RNA is filed under the name uncultured bacterium. Its description in RNAcentral is "partial 16S ribosomal RNA". It matches the Rfam family "Bacterial small subunit ribosomal RNA", at positions 28 to 507 of the family's 1533-position model. The record is from RNAcentral.
GACGAACGCUGGCGGCGUGCUUAACACAUGCAAGUCGAACGAUGAAGCCUAGCUUGCUAGGUGGAUUAGUGGCGAACGGGUGAGUAAUACGUGAGUAACCUACCUUUAACUCUGGGAUAAGCCUGGGAAACUGGGUCUAAUACCGGAUACGACCAAUCUCCGCAUGGGGUGUUGGUGGAAAGCGUUAUGUAGUGGUUAUAGAUGGGCUCACGGCCUAUCAGCUUGUUGGUGAGGUAACGGCUCACCAAGGCGACGACGGGUAGCCGGCCUGAGAGGGUGAACGGCCACACUGGGACUGAGACACGGCCCAGACUCCUACGGGAGGCAGCAGUGGGGAAUAUUGCACAAUGGGCGCAAGCCUGAUGCAGCGACGCCGCGUGAGGGAUGACGGCCUUCGGGUUGUAAACCUCUGUUAGCAGGGAAGAAGAGAAAUUGACGGUACCUGCAGAGAAAGCGCCGGCUAACUACGUG